RNAcentral lists this ribosomal RNA (421 nucleotides) under uncultured bacterium. RNAcentral's name for it is "partial 16S ribosomal RNA". It matches the Rfam family "Bacterial small subunit ribosomal RNA", at positions 360 to 773 of the family's 1533-position model. The record is from RNAcentral.
AAUUUUGGACAAUGGGGGAAACCCUGAUCCAGCAAUCCCGCGUGUAUGAUGAAGGCCUUCGGGUUGUAAAGUACUUUUUGCAGAGAAGAAAAGGUAUCUCCUACUACGAAAUACUGCUGACGAUAUCUGCAGAAUAAGCACCGGAUAACUACGUGCCAGCCGCCGCGGUAAUACGUAGGGUCCAAGCGUUAAUCGGAAUUACUGGGUGUAAAGCGUGUGUAGGCGGUUCGGAAAGAAAGAUGUGAAAUCCCAGGGCUCAACCUUGAAACUGCAUUUUUAACUGCCGAGCUAGAGUAUGUCAGAGGGGGGUAGAAUUCCACGUGUAGCAGUGAAAUGCGUAGAUAUGUGGAGGAAUACCGAUGGCGAAGACAGCCCCCUGGGAUAAUACUGACGCCCAGACACGAAAGCGUGGGGAGCAAAC